Molecule: non-coding RNA, 74 nt
Filed under: Heterosigma akashiwo
Lineage: Eukaryota; Raphidophyceae; Chattonellales; Chattonellaceae
Source: RNAcentral
UCUUCUUUCUUUUUCGUUGUUGUUGUUUUUUCUUUCUCUUUCUCCUCUACUAUUGCCUGUGAAAUAUAACAAUG